UGGAAAUAAUAUUUUGUGUGUACCAAAAGGGGCUAUGGACUAGUGCUAUGUCACAUAAUCAUGACAAUGAGUAUAUGAAGUGUAUUAAAAAUGAUUACUACUCAAGUGAAUUGAGGUCAAAAAAUUAAUUACGAGGGUCGUUCAUUAUAUUAGGAUGGUGGAUAUUUAUUAAUAAUGAGAUUAAGUCCCAUUUUGGGGGUGGCUUAAUAUUAGCCACGUGUAACUUUCUAGUCACAAGUUAUGAGAUAAGAAUAGAAGGGGACAAACACACUUAGUGGAUGAAUGAGGUGGAGGCACAUCUUGUCCCUAUAUAGAAUAAAGAAUACAAUUCAUUUUGCUUUCCUUAGUUAAAAGGCAUUAAAAACGUAGCCGCUAGGUAGAAUUGCUUCUAGAUUCAUUUUUAUUAUUAGCCAAAGAGGUAGCUUUGAUAAGAAAGAAAACUUGAUCUCUUGCUUGAUAUUUCAGCAGCACAAUCACGUUUGGGGCUUUGACAAUAAGGAAAAAUCAAGCACAAGCUCGGUCUAUUUUGAGAAGCAAGGACGGAACAAUGUAUUGUUGCUCCAGAUUUAUUGUGCAACGUGAGGGGAUUGGGGAAAUAAAGCUACGGUUAUGUGGUCCAAAUGGAAUGAAAAUAAAAGUGUUUUUUUUUACAUCUAUGUUGAGGAUUAAUCAUAUUGUGCAAGAAUUUCAAGAAUCAUCAAGGGAUUCUAAGCAUUUCGGAGAUUUCUUCAAAGUAAAGUAAGGUGGAAGAAGAGUAGUUCUUUGCAUAUAAGAUCUUGGGAAGCCCGAGACUUAGGUUUGGAUUAGCUUAAGAAGCGGACAAGGUAUGUUAAGGCUAUUCCCUUUUCUUCGUUUGGCAUGAUCUUUGCGAUAUGAACGAACGACAAACAUAUAAACCCCAAAAGUGACUUCCACUCUUAGACACGUUAGGGGAAUUAUGACUUGACCCCAGAUGCUACCUUGUUAUAUAUUGUUUAUGUCUAUGAUUCCGACAGCUUUACUUAUUGAACAUUACUGCUUCAUAAUGACACUUGAAAUCCUUAUGUCCUUACAUCUUAUCAAAAGGUUCCAUAAUGAUUCUAUGAGUCUCGUAUGCAUUAUAUAUAUAUAUAUAUAUAUAUAUAUAUAUAUUCAUUAUGUUACUGACACCGAACCGCGCUAUAGUCUGUCGGGUACGACACGUAGAUGUGCAACCACUGAUCAGUUGGCUAUUCACACUGAGUCCUAAUACAGGCCGGGUACGUUAUACACACCAAGUCCCGCUAGGGCCGGGUACGUUAUAUAGAUAUGAUGGCGAUAAAGGCCUAUGGAUACUUAUGCAUUGAUAAAUGGUUUUACAUGAAAGCAUGUAUAAUUCUUGCCUUUGGAGCUAUUUACAUUUCUAGUCAUUGCCUUCGGGGCUACUUACAUUGUUAUUCUCUGCCUUCGGGGCUAUUCAUAUUACAGGUUGUUUCUCGUACUUUCAUUAUGACUUAUAUCUCAUUCUUUAUGAUUACUGCUGCCUUACAUACUCGGUACAUUGUUCGUACUGACGUCCCUUUGCCUGGGGGCGCUGUGUUUCAUGCCACACAACCCCAUAUUGCUUUGCAGGAAAGUUUUACAGGAGUUUGACUAUAGGAUGUCCAAGGCGAUCAGCUGGAUUGGUAAACUCCAUUCUGUUUGGAGUGAUGCCGCGUCGGAGUAUUUCCUUAUGAGUUGAAUCAUAUGCAUUAUGGGUAUGUUGGGGCCCUGUCCCAACUUAGGUUUUGAUAUCAUAUCUUACGUUAGAGACUUUUGCAGACAGAGUCAUGUAUACAGUAUGUCAGUCUUGUAAGCGGCUAUGUAAGCCGAUGUAUCAUUAUGCAUUACUUUACAGAUUUCAUAUGAUUACAGAUUUUACUUGAUUUGAGAAAGACGAAAAGAAUGUUUUUGAAAAGCUUUCAUUAUGCAUUUCAUUUCGUGAUUUAA
Lycium ferocissimum is the source of this 1947-nucleotide long non-coding RNA. RefSeq lists it as uncharacterized. The transcript has 2 exons. The record is from RefSeq and is a predicted model, not a curated record. NCBI's taxonomy places the organism in Eukaryota, Viridiplantae, Streptophyta, Magnoliopsida, Solanales, Solanaceae.